GUCCUUUUGAUUAUAAUUUAAGGUCUAAUCUGCUCAAUGAUGAUGUUAAAUUGCCGCAGUAUUUUAACUGUGCAAAGGUAGCAUAAUAAAUAGUUUUUUAAUUGAAAGCUGGAAUGAAUGAUUGGACGAGAAAAUUUCUGUCUCUUUUUAAUUUUUUUUUGAAUUUAACUUUUAAGUUAAAAGGCUUAAAUGUAUCUAAAAGACGAGAAGACCCUAUAGAGUUUUAUGUUUAUAUAUAUUAUUUUUAUUAAGAAUUUAUUGAUUUAAUUUAUUUAAUAAUUUAGUUGGGGUGAUUUAAAGAUUUAAUAAACUCUUUUAAUUAUUAUCAUUUAUUUAUGAAUAAAAAGUCUAAAAAUUUUAAUUUUAAAAUUAAUUACCUUAGGGAUAACAGCGUUAUUUCUUUUUAGAGUUCUUAUUAAAAAUGAAGUUUGCGACCUCGAUGUUGGAUUAAAAUUAAUCUUAGGUGUAGAAGCUUAGGAAUUGAGUCUGUUCGACUUUUAAAAUUUU
Molecule: ribosomal RNA, 507 nt
Filed under: Cyphonocerus ruficollis
Lineage: Eukaryota; Metazoa; Arthropoda; Insecta; Coleoptera; Lampyridae
Description: partial 16S rRNA
Source: RNAcentral